RNAcentral lists this non-coding RNA (28 nucleotides) under Cricetulus griseus (Chinese hamster). The record is from RNAcentral. Lineage: Eukaryota; Metazoa; Chordata; Mammalia; Rodentia; Cricetidae.
UGACAUCUCCUCUGAUCAUCCUUUGCAG